UAUGAAAUGUCUGAUUAAAGAUUUAUUUUGAUAGAAUAAAACAUGUAUAAUAAAUUAUACUUUCAUAA
This 68-nucleotide transfer RNA is filed under the name Cryptopone sauteri. Its description in RNAcentral is "tRNA-Ile". The record is from RNAcentral. Lineage: Eukaryota; Metazoa; Arthropoda; Insecta; Hymenoptera; Formicidae.